RNAcentral lists this transfer RNA (81 nucleotides) under Grosmannia clavigera kw1407. RNAcentral's name for it is "tRNA-Leu (CAG) (tRNA-Leu-CAG-2-1)". It matches the Rfam family "tRNA". From Rfam's summary of the family: Transfer RNA (tRNA) molecules are approximately 80 nucleotides in length. Lineage: Eukaryota; Fungi; Ascomycota; Sordariomycetes; Ophiostomatales; Ophiostomataceae. The record is from RNAcentral.
GGCAAGAUGGCCGAGCGGUUAAGGCGCUAGCUUCAGGUGCUAGUGUGGAGACACGCGUGGGUUCGAGUCCCACUCUUGUCA